This 468-nucleotide ribosomal RNA is filed under the name uncultured bacterium. Its description in RNAcentral is "partial 16S ribosomal RNA". It matches the Rfam family "Bacterial small subunit ribosomal RNA", at positions 28 to 523 of the family's 1533-position model. The record is from RNAcentral.
GAUGAACGCUGGCGGCGUGCCUAACACAUGCAAGUCGAGCGAUUUACUUCGGUAAAGAGCGGCGGACGGGUGAGUAACGCGUGGGUAACCUGCCCUGUACACACGGAUAACAUACCGAAAGGUAUGCUAAUACAAGAUAACAUACUUUUAUCGCAUGGUAGAAGUAUCAAAGCUUUUGCGGUACAGGAUGGACCCGCGUCUGAUUAGCUAGUUGGUAAGGUAACGGCUUACCAAGGCGACGAUCAGUAGCCGACCUGAGAGGGUGAUCGGCCACAUUGGAACUGAGACACGGUCCAAACUCCUACGGGAGGCAGCAGUGGGGAAUAUUGCACAAUGGGCGAAAGCCUGAUGCAGCAACGCCGCGUGAGCGAUGAAGGCCUUCGGGUCGUAAAGCUCUGUCCUCAAGGAAGAUAAUGACGGUACUUGAGGAGGAAGCCCCGGCUAACUACGUGCCAGCCGCCGCAGUAA